GAUGAACGCUGGCGGCGUGCCUAAUACAUGCAAGUCGAGCGAACAGACGAGGAGCUUGCUCCUCUGACGUUAGCGGCGGACGGGUGAGUAACACGUGGAUAACCUACCUAUAAGACUGGGAUAACUUCGGGAAACCGGAGCUAAUACCGGAUAAUAUAUUGAACCGCAUGGUUCAAUAGUUAAAGACGGUUUUGCUGUCACUUAUAGAUGGAUCCGCGUCGCAUUAGCUAGUUGGUAAGGUAACGGCUUACCAAGGCAACGAUGCGUAGCCGACCUGAGAGGGUGAUCGGCCACACUGGAACUGAGACACGGUCCAGACUCCUACGGGAGGCAGCAGUAGGGAAUCUUCCGCAAUGGGCGAAAGCUUGACGGAGCAACGCCGCGUGAGUGAUGAAGGUCUUCGGAUCGUAAAACUCUGUUAUUAGGGAAGAACAAAUGUGUAAGUAACUAUGCACGUCUUGACGGUACCUAAUCAGAAAGCCACGGCUAACUACGUG
Molecule: ribosomal RNA, 497 nt
Filed under: uncultured bacterium
Lineage: Bacteria
Description: partial 16S ribosomal RNA
Rfam family: Bacterial small subunit ribosomal RNA
Source: RNAcentral